This is a long non-coding RNA of Ictalurus punctatus (channel catfish), 894 nucleotides long. Lineage: Eukaryota; Metazoa; Chordata; Actinopteri; Siluriformes; Ictaluridae. The record is from Ensembl.
AAGCCGGUGGCGACGGUAGCAAGGAAAAACUCCCUGAGUUGUUAAGAGGAAGAAACCUUGAGAGGAAGCAGACUCAGAAGGGAACCCGUCCUCAUCUGGGUGACAACGGAGAGUGUGAAAUCCCAGGGCCUGAGUAGCAACCGUAGCCCCAGCAACCACAGUGAGUGUGUCCAUCUGGAACUGGAGUAGAUGCAGGAGCACCUACAUCUACAAGCAGGAGCAUGAGUGGCCUAUUCAGUUUCUCUGUAAUGGUCCAUCCAGAGCUAGGGCAUCCGAACGGAUCAGGCAGGUCCGGAGAGAAGAAAGUAUCAGGAUCUCCAGCAUCUCCAUAAAAUCAUGUGUGGCCCGACAGAAGGAGAGAGGAAGAGAUUGUUAAGUAAAACUGUGCUUUGCAUGAAAGAAAGUCUACUCAUGUGAAAUUAAAACGUCUUGGAACACUUCCUGGAUCAUGUUGGGGCAGGAACAUUGGGAUAAACUGCUUUGAAGCACAGUUGUAUCAAGUACGUGGAUCCAAAUGGCUGCAUUCUCUAUCCUCGGUGUCUUCUCACUUCUGUUCUUAAAGACUACGGAAAUAUAGCACAACUUUGCAUGUUGUCAGACCAGUCAGCUGGAAUAAACAUUUCAAUUCCAACGCAAUCAUCCGCACCCCUAAUAAUUACAGGCGCACAUCUCAGAGACGCCGGUUAAUGAGUGUGUUCAUUGGUGUCAUCAUGUGCUCCGCAAAUACGAAAACAGGAAAUAAUAUUGGAAGUGGAAUGGAGGUUAAUGGCUUGAUAAUUCUGCCUUUAUGAGGAGAUGUGUUUUAUCUACUUUGCAUUGUAAAGAAAGCAAGAUGGCAUCAACCUAGGGGUUGCUUGACUUUGAGUUUGUGUUGUGUAUAUGUGCAAACCCUUC